AUUGAACGCUGGCGGCAUGCCUUACACAUGCAAGUCGAACGGCAGCACGGGAGCAAUCCUGGUGGCGAAGGUUGGGCGAAACGGGGUGAGUAAUAUAUCGGAACGUGCCCCAGUCGUGGGGGAUAACGUAGCGAAAGCUACGCUAAUACCGCAUACGAUCUAUGGAUGAAAGCGGGGGAUCGCAAGACCUCGCGCGAUUGGAGCGGCCGAUAUCAGAUUAGGUAGUUGGUGAGGUAAAGGCUCACCAAGCCGACGAUCUGUAGCUGGUCUGAGAGGGCGGACCAGCCACACUGGGACUGAGACACGGCCCAGACUCCUACGGGAGGCAGCAGUGGGGAAUUUUGGACAAUGGGCGCAGCCUGAUCCAGCAAUGCCGCGUGCAGGAUGAAGGCCUU
This 395-nucleotide ribosomal RNA is filed under the name uncultured bacterium. RNAcentral describes it as "bacterial SSU rRNA". It matches the Rfam family "Bacterial small subunit ribosomal RNA", at positions 30 to 418 of the family's 1533-position model. The record is from RNAcentral.